Molecule: ribosomal RNA, 317 nt
Filed under: uncultured bacterium
Lineage: Bacteria
Description: bacterial SSU rRNA
Rfam family: Bacterial small subunit ribosomal RNA
Source: RNAcentral
AAUAAAUGCUGGCGGCGUGCCUAACACAUGCAAGUCGAGCGCGAAAGGUUCUUCGGAACCAAGUAGAGCGGCGAACGGGUGAGUAACGCGUGGGAAUCUACCUUCUAGUGAGGAAUACCCUCGAGAAAUCGAGGUUAAUACUGCAUAAGUCCCUUCGGGGAGAAAGAUGGCCUCUUGCUGUCGCUAGAAGAUGAGCUUGCGUACUAUUAGCUAGUUGGUGGGGUAAAGGCCUACCAAGGCGAAGAUGGUUAGCCGACCUGAGAGGGUGACCGGCCACACUGGAACUUAGACACGGUCCAGACUCCUACGGGAGGCAG